AGAUUGAACGCUGGCGGCAUGCUUUACACAUGCAAGUCGAACGGCAGCACGGGGGCAACCCUGGUGGCGAGUGGCGAACGGGUGAGUAAUGCAUCGGAACGUAUCUUUAAGUGGGGGAUAACGCAUCGAAAGAUGCGCUAAUACCGCAUAAUCUCUGAGGAGAAAAGCAGGGGAUCGCAAGACCUUGCGCUUUUGGAGCGGCCGAUGUCUGAUUAGCUAGUUGGUGGGGUAAAGGCUUACCAAGGCUUCGAUCAGUAGCUGGUCUGAGAGGACGACCAGCCACACUGGAACUGAGACACGGUCCAGACUCCUACGGGAGGCAGCAGUGGGAAUUUGGACAAGUGGGCGCAAGCCUGAUCCAGCAAUGCCGCGUGAGUGAAGAGGCCUUGGGUUGUAAGUCUACUUUGUCGUAGGAAGAAGGUGAGG
Molecule: ribosomal RNA, 426 nt
Filed under: uncultured soil bacterium
Lineage: Bacteria
Description: bacterial SSU rRNA
Rfam family: Bacterial small subunit ribosomal RNA
Source: RNAcentral